This 689-nucleotide ribosomal RNA is filed under the name uncultured bacterium. RNAcentral describes it as "bacterial SSU rRNA". It matches the Rfam family "Bacterial small subunit ribosomal RNA", at positions 104 to 810 of the family's 1533-position model. The record is from RNAcentral.
GGGUGAGUAACGCGUAGGCAACCUGCCCUUUGCACAGGGAUAGCCAUUGGAAACGAUGAUUAAAACCUGAUAACACCAUUUGGUUACAUGAGCAGAUGGUCAAAGAUUUAUCGGCAAAGGAUGGGCCUGCGUCUGAUUAGCUAGUUGGUAAGGUAACGGCUUACCAAGGCGACGAUCAGUAGCCGACCUGAGAGGGUGAACGGCCACAUUGGAACUGAGACACGGUCCAAACUCCUACGGGAGGCAGCAGUGGGGAAUAUUGCACAAUGGGCGAAAGCCUGAUGCAGCAACGCCGCGUGAAGGAAGAAGGCCUUCGGGUCGUAAACUUCUGUCCUUGGGGAAGAAGAACUGACGGUACCCAAGGAGGAAGCCCCGGCUAACUACGUGCCAGCAGCCGCGGUAAUACGUAGGGGGCAAGCGUUAUCCGGAAUUAUUGGGCGUAAAGAGUACGUAGGUGGCAACCUAAGCGCAGGGUUUAAGGCAAUGGCUCAACCAUUGUUCGCCCUGCGAACUGGGAUGCUUGAGUGCAGGAGAGGAAAGCGGAAUUCCUAGUGUAGCGGUGAAAUGCGUAGAUAUUAGGAGGAACACCAGUGGCGAAGGCGGCUUUCUGGACUGUAACUGACACUGAGGUACGAAAGCGUGGGGAGCAAACAGGAUUAGAUACCCUGGUAGUCCACGCCGUAAACGAU